GAAGCCCUUAGCAAAUGUAUGCAUGGAGUAAAGCAGGUUAUAAAAAGCAUAACUUCCCAGGUGUCAUGAGCAUUUCCCCUGUAUUUUUACAUCUGAAACCAUGCGCAGAAUUUACUGAAGAAAUUACUGUCCUGCCUGGAGCAUACAAUUUUACUCUUUGCAUUUCAAAAAUGAGUAUCAGCACAGACAUUUUAUGUACUACUUCCAUUUAUCUGGCUGCCAAGAAACAGUGUCUUGGGAUCAGCUGUGACCCCCAUCUUCAGAUAUGACAGGUGACGGGGGGAGAGAGUGUGUGUGAAUAGGCAGACGGAUCCGCGCGCUAAUUCAGAGGAGAAACCGCAUCGGUUAUCGCUUCCGAACACGCAGCAUUCAAUGUGCUGUGAAUGCCUUUGUUUACGGACGUAUGGAGGCCCAGUCACCGCCAGAGCGCACGAGCCGUGGCAAGAGGCAUGUGAAAGCACAAUUCUUCCCGCAAUCGUAGCGUUCUUCUGUCAAGAUAACAAGGUUUGUGUAUGAUUUCAUUUUGCACAGGGUAUGCUGCACAAGAAAGCCAAUACAUAAAACUGCUGUUACUCCAAAAUAUAUAUUUAUUGUAUUAAUGAAUCACAUUUGAUUAGGGAAAAAUUAUGUUAGGAAAGAACUGUUAAUUGCAGUUAUUUCUUCUACCAAAUUACUGUAAACCUAUCACCAUUAAACAUGAAAUUCAAUACCCUCUUCUGGAGGCUGUCAGUUCUUUGUUUUGAUUUUGCUCAGAUAGAUAGAUAGAUAGCAUCCAACCCUUUAAAAAAUUCUGACUACUAUAAACCCAUCAAUCAUAAAUAUUUUAUUUAAUAUCAUCUCAUUAACAAUAUAAUGUCAACAUUGAUUUUACA
Molecule: long non-coding RNA, 872 nt
Organism: Anguilla anguilla (European eel)
Lineage: Eukaryota; Metazoa; Chordata; Actinopteri; Anguilliformes; Anguillidae
Exons: 4
Source: RefSeq, a predicted model, not a curated record